Molecule: small nucleolar RNA, 119 nt
Organism: Sorex araneus (European shrew)
Lineage: Eukaryota; Metazoa; Chordata; Mammalia; Eulipotyphla; Soricidae
Gene: SNORD22
Rfam family: Small nucleolar RNA SNORD22
About the family: U22 is a member of the C/D class of snoRNA which contain the C (UGAUGA) and D (CUGA) box motifs. U22 is encoded within the U22 snoRNA host gene (UHG) in mammals and has also been identified in Xenopus. U22 is thought to as a 2'-O-ribose methylation guide for ribosomal RNA.
Source: Ensembl
UUUCAGUGAAAAAGCAUUUACACAUUUUACCUCUUCUCUUCCUACAGCCACCUUGACCUGAACUAACUAAACUUGGGGAGAAGAGAAAAGCCUGUUCCAGAAGUAACUAUUUGAAGGAU